UGCUCAGACUACUAAUACUGCUGGGUAUAAUGCGAUGGAAGAAAGUGUGAGCAGGGAAAAGCCAGAAUUGACAGCUUCAACAGAAAGGGUCAACAAAAGAAUGUCCAUGGUGGUGUCUGGCCUGACCCCAGAAGAAUUUAUGCUCGUGUACAAGUUUGCCAGAAAACACCACAUCACUUUAACUAAUCUAAUUACUGAAGAGACUACUCAUGUUGUUAUGAAAACAGGUAUACCAAGAACCUUUACAGAAUACUUUGCAUCUGCUGCAUAAAACCAUAUGAGGCGAGGCACGGUGGCGCAUGCCUGUAAUCGCAGCACUUUGGGAGGCCAAGGUGGGCAGAUCAUGAGAUUAGGAGAUCGAGACCAUCCUGGCCAGCAUGGUGAAACCCCAUCUCUACUAAAAAAUAAAAAAAUUAGCUGGGUGUGGUCGCGUGUGCCUGUAGUCCCAGCUACUCAUGAGGCUGAGGCAGGAGAAUCACUUGAACCGGGGAGAUGGAAGUUGCAGUGAGCCGAGAUCAUGCCAUUGCACUCCAGCCUGGCGACAGAGCAAGACUCCAUCUC
Molecule: small RNA, 561 nt
Filed under: Pongo abelii (Sumatran orangutan)
Lineage: Eukaryota; Metazoa; Chordata; Mammalia; Primates; Hominidae
Description: retained intron
Source: RNAcentral